This 8562-nucleotide long non-coding RNA is filed under the name Homo sapiens (human). RNAcentral's name for it is "HSALNT0203898". The record is from RNAcentral. Lineage: Eukaryota; Metazoa; Chordata; Mammalia; Primates; Hominidae.
UGUAAUCUACUUGAUCUCCCUUCCUUUUGGAAGCUAAUUUACAGCUCUUUUUUUCCCCCUUUUAGAAGGCCCCUGCACUUUCUUCUUUGUGGUUGAGCUAUAAUAUUUCUAGCUGAUGUUGGCCCUGAAGGCAUACAGAAUCACUUCGCGGCUUUUGGUCUUGGCUUCCUGGUUUAGAUUCUGAGAUAGUGUUGCUUGAUUGUUUUCAUAGAGGUAAUGACAUCAUGUGUUUUUCUUUCUAUUUUUGAAGGUGAAGGUAUUUGCGCCUAAUGUCGAGCAGAUGCUCAUCGUUAAUCACUUGAAAGGGAGCCCAACAGAAAGAAGAGAAAUGUGCUGGAGGAAAGUGCCAGGAGAGCCCGGAGGGACGUCCAAGACUUGGCAGACCUGAACUCGAGCAAGCUUGAUGCUGUCAUUCUACCUGCUUUCAAUGGAUCAAAAGUGAGAUUCGAUUCAAGGAGAGGGGACCCCAAAAGGGCAUCAAUACCAGGAGGCAUGGAUAUUGGAUAACUGUCUUUGGAGACAUGCUACACAUUAUGAAUAAAAUGUAAGUUUAAAUCUAUCUACAAAUCCCCAGAGAGAGAAAGGGCUAGGGAGAUUCAUUUUAUUUGAGUUGUGGGUGUUUUGAGAAUUCACUCUUUUCUUCUACUGCUAAUACGGUUAACCCGAGAGACGUUUGUAAGGGUUAUUGCUCCUGAAGUCUGGUGCUAAUAUUAGUGUUUUCACAUCUAAGGUAGUAUUACUAGCAAAUUAAUGUCAAAAUUACUGCUACUUAAAAAAUAUUUUAUUUUAGCACAUAAGGAUAGGUUUAUGUUUUUAAAAUGUAUGGAGUUAUCUCAAAAGCUUUUUAAUAGAUAUAGUUCUACUUCGUACCAAACUUGAAAUAUUUAGCAAAAAUUAGCAUCAUGAUAGGUGUCCCAGCUUGAAUCUUCAGAAUUUCAUACUGUUGAUGCAAAAUGAUUAUUUAUUAUUAUUAGGUUAAUAUAAGCCCUUUAUGUCUAUUGAGUCCACUUGCUAUAAGGCUACAUUGAAGCUAUGUAAUGUCUUUAAUGAUUUGAGUGUGUUUCAGAAUUUGUCAUCAGUUUUUUACAAAAAGAUCUCCAAGGUAUCUUGACGAUUAUAGGUUGUGAUACUGAGACAGAGUCUUUUUUUUUUGAGACAGACUCUCGCUGUGUCACCCAGGCUGGAGUGCAGUGGUGCAAUCUUGGCUCACUGCAACCUCUGCCUCCCGGUUUCAAGCAAUUCUCCUGCCUCAGCCUCCCGAGUAGGGCGCACGCCACCACACCCAGCUAAUUUUUGUAUUUUUAGUAGAGACGGGGUUUCACCAUAUUGGCCAGGCUGGUCUCAAACUUCUGUCCUCUUGAUCUGCCUGCCUUGGCCUCCCAAAGUGCUGGGAUUACAGGCAUGAGCUACCACGCCCAGCUGCGGUACUGACUUUUUAAAAAAAGUUAAUGGGAAAGAAAAAAACAAAGUUAAUGAAUUAAUUCAAAGUCACUAUCAAUUCUAGAAGACAUUAAAGAAAUACUAUUUUUACAUCCUAACCACGUGUGUUAUGUGUUGCUCUUCUAUACCCUCAUUCUUUGCCCAAGAUUUGUUCAUCCAUUCUUCUUGUCAGCUGCCUUAAAUAAUCCUGGGUCGUCGUCUUUGCUGGUGGCUUUGGAGUAGCUCAGAGCUGCCCUGGAUGGGAAAGACUGCUCUGUCGGCAGUUCUGUGAAGGACACUUCAAGCCUUCCCCUGUGGGAGGAAGCCCAUCGCUACUGCUGCUGCAUUUCCCCUGGCUUGGCAGCCGAAACCUUCCUGCUGGUGAAGUCACAGCGGGUCAGGAUAAUAAUGUGGACAGAGGGAAAGAAAAGGAUAGAAAGCUGCCUGCCGAGUAAGCAGGUCCUACGGCGCUUUCCUAUUUUCCUUCCUGCAGAUAAAUAUAGACGUGACCACUUUUCUAAUAGCUUGACAAAUUAUCUUUUUUUUUUGUAACAGAGUCUUGCUCUGUCACCCAGGCUGGCAGUGCAGUGCACUGCAGUGGCGUGAUCAUGACUCACUGCAACCUCGACCUCCUGGGAUCAAGCGACCCUCCCACCUUGGCCUCUCGAGUAGCUAGGACCACAGGUAUGCACCAACACACCUGGCUAAUUUUGUAUUUUUUGUAGAGAUGGGGUUUUGCCAUGUUGCCCAGGCUGGUCUUGAACUCCUGGGCUCAAGUGAUCCCCCGGCCUCGGCCUCCCAGGGUGCUAGACAAAUUAUCAUUCAUUACGGGGCUGCAGCAUUUGGUGAUUGGCAUUAGGGUGGAGGUGGAGGUGAUAAGGGGCUGUGGUUUAAGGUGAUAAGACUAGAUGGCUUGAAUCAUAUGGAAAAUAUAUUCUUUCAAACUAUUAAUACAUUGGCUUACUCUGAAAGAAAAAAAUUCAACGUGGCAAUUCUGUUAUCAUAUCAUUCAGCUGUAAGAAUCAAGUGGCGCUUGCUUUAAUUAUUUCAUAUUGAUCCUAGUACAUUUACCCUUCAUUUAUCUUACUAACUGGGUAUUUAAGUGAAGCCUCAUGUUGGGACCGAUUUCUUGGGUGCAUAAUAUCUGUGAGCUUUUUUUCUGAACUUGGCAGUGUUUGAGAGGCCAGUGUAAGCCAGUAAUUUUAACCUUUUUCACGGUCAUGUUGCCAGGUGCCUAAGGAACAUUUUUUUCCCCACUCAGUUAUAACUUCUCUUCAUGAUAUGUUUUCUGGUGAUGACAGAGACACUGCUGUACAGGGCCCUAGCUGUAAACAUGGAUGUGAGUAAAUCCUAUGGGGAUGUUACCAACAAAAUGGCACUGACAUGUGCAUUCAUGGCAUGGCCCUUCUGCAUGGUUUUUUUUUUAGGCAUAAAGUCUCACUAUGUUGCCCAGGCUGGAGUACAGUGGCUAUUCACUGAUGUGAUCAUUGUGCACUACAGUCUUGAACUUUUGGGUUUAAGCCAGCUUCCUGCCUCAGCCUCGCGAGUAGCUGGGGCUAUAGCCACACACCACUGCACCUGGCUCUUUGCAUGAUAUUUCUGGUGGAUUAGUAAAAAUGGUAGGACAUGUUUUACAGCAGGCUUGAGAUAUAGUGCUUGACGUAUAAUAUUUAGAAGAAAUUGUUCAGGUAAAAAUAGUUUAGCUCCUACCAGAUGAAUUACAUACUCUUUCACUUGAUGGUAGGUACUUUAAUUGUGAUCUUGACUCAUAAGUAAGUAGCAAUUAUACUGACAUACAUGGUUUCUAAAAAAGUACAUUUUUUAUUUUUUAGAGUCAGAAGCAACACUAUCAUGCCAUGCUUCUGAAAGAUGGGCAUUGGGCUGUUUUAAAGUUUUUAUUGAACCUCCAGGUUGGCUCCUUCAUAGGUGCCAGCUGUAACUGGGGUUGGUUGACUUGUUUGUAAUAACUGCACAAAAAGGAUAACUUUUUAAAUGAGAUGGUAAUAUCGGAAUGUUGAAUUCUGCAUUUACAACUGCGCUGGAAGACUAAACUAAUUUUAGUUAUUUCUUGGAAGGUGUUUAUUUUGUUCUUUUUAUUUUUUAUGUUUUUGAGACGGAGUUUUGCUCUUGUUGCCCAGGCUGGAGUGCAAUGGUGUGAUCUCGGCUCACCGCAACCUCCACCUCCCGGUUCCAACUGAUUCUCCUGCCUCAGUCUCCCAAGUAGCUGGGAUUAUGGGCAUGUGCCACCAAGCCCAGCUAAUUUUGGAUUUUUAGUAGAGACAGGGUUUCUCUAUGUUGGUCAGGCUGGUCUCAAACUCCCGACCUCAGAUGAGCCACCCGCCUCUGCCUCCCAAAGUGCUGGGAUUACAGACGUGAGCCACCGUGCCUGGCCUGUUCUGUUCUUUAUGAUUCCAAUAAAACUAUGACCCCCCCCCACCUCCUUUUUUUGAGACAGGGUCUUGCUGUGUUGCCCAGGCUGGAAUGCAGUGGUGAGAUCUCAGCUCACUGCAACCUCUGCCUCCCAGUCUCUAAUGAUCCUCCCACCUCAGCCUCCCAAGUAAGCUAGGGUUACAGGUGUACGCCACCAUGCUUGGCUAAUUUUUUACUUUUUUGUAGAAACAGCUUCUCCCUAUAUUGCCUAAGCUGUUUUUGAACACCUGGGCUCAAGCAGUCCUCCUGCCACGGCCUCCCAAAGUGCUGGGAUUACAGGCAUGAGUCACCAUUCCCAGCUGAGCCAUGAAGCUUUAAGAAAGUUACCAUGUAUCAUAAAUUCUUUUGAUGUGCCACACAGCUGCAAACUACUGGGCACCCAGGGUUUAAGCAAGAGCCUGAGUAGUUGCCUAUGACAUACUCACCUGCUUUGAAUGUCUUGAAUUAUUACUUUCUGUGAACUAUUACGGUGCUAUUUUUUUUUAUGGUCAGAGAACAGAGGAUGAGUAAUUUUACUAAUGAAUAAUUUUUUUAAAUAAGCGAAGUAUUGCAGGUAGAUCUUUUGUUGGGAGAAGAGAUUGCACACACAUGUACAUACUUGCACAACUCUGCUGGAAUGAAAAGCAGCACAUUUUGUCAUGACUUUGCCCCUUUGCCCCCUACCUUGAUUCCCUAUAGCUUUGCUCUGUGCAGGGAAGUCUUGCUAGAAUCGACAAGGAAGCUACCUUUGUAUGGUACCACUGGUCUUUUGCAGUCAUAGGUUAUAUCAUGGCCCAGAAAGAACUGGAAGCUUUUAAUUCCAUUAAAGGGAGGCUCACAUUCUUUGGACUCUUCUAGUCCCUGAACCUAACUCAGCACCAGAAGCUUACAUUCCUACCAGGGGAGGAACAAAGCAAGCAGAGGCUGCCCAGAACAGGCACAGAGCACUUUCCUCAUCUUAUUCAAUUAUUUUGCUUGUUGUCUCUCUACCCAUAAUAGAUCGUAAGCUCAUGAGAACAGGAGGUUUUGCCUAUUUUGUCCAUUGCUCUAUUACCUGCACUGAGAAUAUCCCCUGGCAGAUAGUAAGCCCUCAAUACACACGUGUUAAAUUGAAUGAAAGCCCAUUAUUUACCCAGUAUCCCCCAAAGAGUUUCCUUUACACAAGCUAUCACAGUACUUAACGGUGGUCCCUGGGGCCUAUCACACGGGAGUUCUCUGAGUGUGAUGUUUUUUAGAUAAAACCUUCCAAGCGAAGUUGUUAUAAAAUAUAAUUUAUAAACAUUCCUUUAAAACUCACAUGUUCUCAUUAUAAGCAGCUGGCUUAAAAUAAUCACAGAUCUUCAUUAGAGAAAUGCAAAUCAAAACCACAAUGAGAUACCAUCUCACACCAGUCAGAAUGGCUAUUACUAAAAAGUCAAUAAAUAACAGAUGCCAGCGAGGUUGUGGAGAAAAAGGAACGCUUAUACACUGUUGGUGUGAAUUAGUUCAAACAUUGUGGAAGACAGUGUGGUGAUUCCUCAAAGACCUAAAGACAAAUAUACCAUUUGACUCAGCAAUCUCAUUACUGGGUAUAUACCCAAAGGAAUAUAAAUCAUUCUAUUAUAAAGACAUAUGCAUAUGUACGUUCAUUGCAAUACUACUCACAAUGCAAAGACAUGGAAUCAACCUAAAUGCCCAUCAAUGAUAGACUAGAUAAAGAAAAUGUGGUACAUAUACACUAUGGAAUACUGUGCAGCCAUAAAGAGAAUGAGAGCUUUUUUGCCUGCUGCCAUGUAAAACAUCUCUUUGGUCUUCAUCUUCUGCCAUGAUUGUGAGGCCUCCCCAGCCAUGUGAAACUAUGCAACAGAGAUCGGAGGCUCCCAGCAAAAACCAUAACAGUGUGUGAAUCCUGCGCCAGCAACUGAGGUGUCCAGAUUCUGUUAUCAGAACUGACUAGGAGGCUGGCAUGAUCCAUGGAGAGCAAGGAAGAGCAGUGUGGUGUGGUGGCCCACCCGAGAGCCACGUGGGUCAGGGGAGCCCCCACACCCCAGCCAAGGGAGGUGAUGAGUGAGCGUGCUACCUAGCCUGGGAAAUCGUGCUUUUUCCAUGGAACUGUGCAACCCACGGAUGGGAAGAUCCCACUCGUGAGCCCACUCCACUGGGACCUAGGGUCUCAGCCACGGAGCCAUGGAGAUUCUCAACAGCCACUCAGCUAGAAUCUGCUUAAGCCUGCCAAGUUCCCAGCUGAGGAGUGGCGAGCACCACAGCUGUCACUGCCUGCUGUCUAAGCCAUUUGAGCUCCUUGGGAGAGGGGCAGCAGCCAACACUGGGACUGCUAGCUGCCUAACACACUAAGCUCCCAGGGUGGGGGAAGGGUGGCAGCCAUCACUAUAGCUCCAGGCCAUGCUUUUCUCCCCGCUGAAGCCAGGGAGGUUGGACGGGUUGGUCCCAAGAGGUAUUCCCCACAGCCCAAUACACUGGCUGUGGCAGAUGCAGCCAUAGUGCCUCUUCAGGCCUGACCCUGAUCCAUCCCUCCUCACUGGGUGGGGCCUCCCUGCAGGAACUCCAACAACUCCAGCCAGGGGCUCAGGGACUGAACCCUGAUCUCCCUGGGUCUGAGCCCCUAGGGGAAGGGGUAGCCAUAGUCUCCACGGACUAGCUGACUUAGUCUUUCCUCCUGCUAGUUCUGAGGAACCCAGACAGCCCAGACGAGUGCAUUUCCCCCCAGCAAAGCACACCCCCUCCACCAAGGGAUAUUCAAAGUGCUAUAUUAAACGGGUCCUGUUCUCUGUGCCACCCAACUGGGUGAGACCUGAGACCUUCCAACAGGGGUUGCCAGAUACCCUAUACAGGAGCAUUCCUACUGGCAUCAGGUCAGUGCUCCUUGAGGUUAGAGAUCCCAGAGGAAGGAGGAGUCACCCAUCUUGCUGUUCUCCAGCCUCCUUGAGUGACAUCUUCAGGAGUGGGAGCAAAUUAGAUGAAUAGGGCCUGAAGUGAAGCCCCAGCAAACUGCGGCAGCCCUACAGAAGAGGGACCUGACCAUUGAAAGAAAAACAAACAGAAAGCAACAACAACAGCAUGAACAAAAAAGUCUCCACAAAAACCUCAUUCAAGGGUCAGCAGCCUCAAAGAUUGAAACUCAUGAAGACGAGAAAGAAUCAACGAAAAAACACUGAAAACCUGAAAGGCCAGAAUGGCUCUUCUCCAAAUGAUCGCAACACCUCUCCAGCAGGGGCACAGAACUGAACAGAGGAUGAGAUGGAUGAAGUGACAGAAGUAGGCUUCAGAAGAUGGGUAAUAACAAACUCUGCUGAGCUAAAGGGGCGUGUUCUAACCCAAUGCAAAGAAGAUAAGAACUUUGAUAAAAGGUUGCAGGAGCUGUUAACUAGAAUAACCAGUUUAGAGAGGAACAUAAAUGACCUGAUGGAGCUGAGAAACACAGCAUGAGAACUUUGUAACACAUACACAAGUAUCAAUAGCCGAAGCGACCAAGCAGAAGAAAGGGUAUCAGAGUUGGAAGACCAUCUUGCUGAAAUAAGGCACACAGACAAGAUUAGAGAAAAAAGAAUGAAAAGGAACAAACAAAACCUCCGAGAAAUAUGGGACUAUGUAAAAAGACUCAACCUAUGAUUGACUGGAGUACCCGAAGAAGAUGGGGAGAACGGAACCAACUUGGAAAACACACUUCAGGAUAUUAUCCAGGAGAACUUCCCCAACCUAGCAAGACAGGCCAACAUGCAAAUUCAGGAAAUACAGAAAACACCACUAAGACACUCCACGAGUAGAUCAACCCCAAGACACAUAAUCAUCAGAUUCUCCAAGGUCAAAAUGAAGGAAAAAAUGUUAAGGGCAGCCAGAGAGAAAGGACAGGUCACCUACAAAGGGAAGCCCAUCAGACCAACAGCGGAUCUCUGUGCAGAAAUCCUACAGUUUUAAGCCUACUGGGGAUAUCAGCUUUAGUUAAUACUGUGAUAGAACACACAGCUUACAGGGCUCAAGUGCAACAGAGCAGUGGCAAUGCCUAAAGUGGAGGUGAGGUCCAACUUUUAUAUAACAUUUUCCUACCCUGCAAAGCUGCACAAACAGGAAAGGAAGGGGUUUCAGGUUUAAAAGCCACGCAGAAAAGAAAUAACAUAGCAGACCUGAGGCUGCUGCUUUAGGAAACACUUGCUUACCAGGCUGGCCCUUGGCUGGUGUCUAGGAACAUAGCACUUUAACCCACUCUCUAGCUGAUAAGAAUGAUUCAUUGUAUCUAGACUGCGCAAGCAACUUGGUUUAUGCUGAAUACCCGCUUUUCUUCUUUGAGUUUGGAAUUCUGAUUAUUUCUAGGGAGAGGGUGCCUACAUAACCAACCAUGUAAAAUCUUUGAAUGCUGAGUCUCUUUCUAGGGCAGAAACAUUGCACACACAUUACUGAAUUUUUCGCUGCUGACAAAAGGAGCCUGCUUCAUGAGUCUCCUCAGGGGAGGGAGAGAGCAUUAAAAGCCUGUGCUUGGAUUUUUCCAGACUUUGCAUGUGUGUUUUUCUGUUGCUUAUCGUGUCAUGUAUCCUUGCACUGUAGUAAACCCUAGCCACGGGGCUACUAAAUGCUGGGUCCUUCUCAUGAAUCACCAAAUGUGUGCAUGGCCUCAGGCAUCCCUGAAACAUAUGCAAUAGCCAGCACUAGGGCUCUUUAAAGAUGGCAAAAAUGUUUCUGCUGACUGAGGCAGUUUGACUCGGGGCCAUGGAUGUGUGCCAAGGAUGCAGAAGUACAGGG